GCACUGCUGACGAGUCCAAAGCAGCACGAAACAGCUGUCCAGUGC
Molecule: non-coding RNA, 45 nt
Organism: Echinostoma caproni
Lineage: Eukaryota; Metazoa; Platyhelminthes; Trematoda; Plagiorchiida; Echinostomatidae
Source: Rfam